CCUACGGGGCGCACCAGUGGGGAAUAUUGGACAAUGGGGGCAACCCUGAUCCAGCAAUGCCGCGUGUGUGAAGAAGGCCUGCGGGUUGUAAAGCACUUUCAGUAGGGAGGAAACGCUGAAGGAUAAUACCCUUCAGUUUUGACGUUACCUACAGAAGAAGCACCGGCUAACUCUGUGCCAGCAGCCGCGGUAAUACAGAGGGUGCGAGCGUUAAUCGGAAUUACUGGGCGUAAAGCGCACGUAGGUGGUUUGAUAAGUCGGAUGUGAAAGCCCUGGGCUCAACCUGGGAAUUGCACUCGAUACUGUCAGGCUAGAGUAUGGUAGAGGGGGGCAGAAUUCCCGGUGUAGCGGUGAAAUGCGUAGAUAUCGGGAGGAAUACCAGUGGCGAAGGCGGCCCCCUGGACCAAUACUGACACUGAGGUGCGAAAGCGUGGGUAGCAAACAGGAUUAGAUACCCGAGUAGUC
This 465-nucleotide ribosomal RNA is filed under the name uncultured bacterium. RNAcentral's name for it is "bacterial SSU rRNA". It matches the Rfam family "Bacterial small subunit ribosomal RNA", at positions 338 to 795 of the family's 1533-position model. The record is from RNAcentral.